RNAcentral lists this ribosomal RNA (468 nucleotides) under uncultured bacterium. RNAcentral describes it as "partial 16S ribosomal RNA". It matches the Rfam family "Bacterial small subunit ribosomal RNA", at positions 28 to 507 of the family's 1533-position model. The record is from RNAcentral.
GACGAACGCUGGCGGCGUGCUUAACACAUGCAAGUCGAACGGAAAGGCCCUGCUUUUGUGGGGUGCUCGAGUGGCGAACGGGUGAGUAACACGUGAGUAACCUGCCCUUUACUUUGGGAUAACUUCAGGAAACUGGGGCUAAUACCGGAUAGGAGCUCCUGCUGCAUGGUGUGUGUUGGAAAGUUUCGGCGGUUGGGGAUGGACUCGCGGCUUAUUAGCUUGUUGGUGGGGUAGUGGAUUACCAAGGCUUUGACGGGUAGCCGGCCUGAGAGGGUGACCGGCCACAGUGGGACUGAGAUAGGGCCCAGACUCCUACGGGAGGCAGCAGUGGGGAAUAUUGCAAAAUGGGCGGAAGCCUGAUGCAGCAACGCCGCGUGCGGGAUGACGGCCUUCGGGUUGUAAACCGCUUUCGCCUGGAAAGAAGCGUGAGUGACGGUAAUGGGUAAAGAAGCACCGGCUAACUACGUG